Molecule: transfer RNA, 72 nt
Filed under: Ictidomys tridecemlineatus (thirteen-lined ground squirrel)
Lineage: Eukaryota; Metazoa; Chordata; Mammalia; Rodentia; Sciuridae
Description: Spermophilus tridecemlineatus (thirteen-lined ground squirrel) tRNA
Rfam family: tRNA
About the family: Transfer RNA (tRNA) molecules are approximately 80 nucleotides in length.
Source: Rfam by way of RNAcentral
GGGGACGUGGCUCAGUUGGUAGAGUGCUUGCCUUAUAUGCACAAGGCCCUGGGUUCAAUCCCCAACACCUCA